Molecule: long non-coding RNA, 1984 nt
Filed under: Homo sapiens (human)
Lineage: Eukaryota; Metazoa; Chordata; Mammalia; Primates; Hominidae
Description: non-protein coding lnc-FDXR-1:1
Source: RNAcentral
GAGUCCCGCUUCUUCCCCUUCCAGCUCUGCCCCAUCUCCUUUGCCCCAGCCUAGCUCUCUCCUUCCUGCGACCUGGGAGAAUCGGAGUGGGCUUCCAGAGUAGUGGCAUCUUGCAGAUGCUGGCCCGUGCCCGGCUCCCGGGCUUCCAGAGCGCAAAGGGAAGGGUAGGCAGAGAGGGCACUGGGCGAGCAAGACCUGGCGCUGGGCCCUGGCUGCGCACCAGCCGCCUGCGCCGGUCUCUGGGGGCUUCGCCCAGGAUCCCCGACGGCGGGGAGGGGAAGCCCCGAGUCUCCUGUUUCCUGCCUACGCGGGCAGGGCGGGGACACGCGGAGCAAAGGCACCCGGCAACCUGAACCCCCAGGUGCGUCCCGCGACCCUGCAAGGAGCUGCUGGGACCCUCCGGUGGACAUGGGUGGGGCCCUGGGGCCGGCCCUGUUGCUCACCUCGCUCUUCGGUGCCUGGGCAGGGCUGGGUCCGGGGCAGGGCGAGCAGGGCAUGACGGUGGCCGUGGUGUUUAGCAGCUCAGGGCCGCCCCAGGCCCAGUUCCGUGCCCGCCUCACCCCCCAGAGCUUCCUGGACCUACCCCUGGAGAUCCAGCCGCUCACAGUUGGGGUCAACACCACCAACCCCAGCAGCCUCCUCACCCAGAUCUGCGGCCUCCUGGGUGCUGCCCACGUCCACGGCAUUGUCUUUGAGGACAACGUGGACACCGAGGCGGUGGCCCAGAUCCUUGACUUCAUCUCCUCCCAGACCCAUGUGCCCAUCCUCAGCAUCAGCGGAGGCUCUGCUGUGGUCCUCACCCCCAAGGUGCAUGUCCAAACUCAUGUCCCCUCGUGCCUCAGGCCUGGAACCAGGCUGGGGUCGGGGGUGCUUUGGUUCUGGGAAGCUGGGAUUAGACGGGAUGGGCAGGGAGGUGGGGGCUGAGGGCAUGAUGUGGGUGAUGGGGAGAUGGUUAUGGGAAUGACAUCCCAUGUUCUAGAGGAGAGAUAUUCUGGGCUGACCUCACAUUGUGUCUGGAUGAGGGGUGGGCAGGGUGCAGGCCCACCCUCUGGCUGUGGGGCUCAGGCCCCAGCCCUCCUCCUCUCUGCUUCCCUCAGCUUCCUAGGUCAGGGUGAAGACCCAGAGGGCCAGCCGGGCAUGGAGGUGGUGCCAUGCCCUCUGGGCAGUGGUAGUUGACCUGUAGGGUGAGCACCAGGGAACCCUGGGAGCCCUGGGGGAGGCAGAAACGGCCCUGCCCUUGCAGGGCUCAGGGGAGAACGUUCCAAACACACAUUCAUCAGCAGUUACAACUAGGACAAGCGUUCUGAAGGAAAGACACAGGAUGCUGUGAGGGAGCUCACUCAUGGCUCAUGCAUAGGGUGUUGGCCAGGGAAAGUCUCUGGAGAAAUGAUGUCUAGGCUGAGGGCCUAAGGGCGAGCCGGUGGGGAGGGGGAGAGGCCCAGGCAGAGAAGCAGGUGGGAUGAAGGCCCCAAGGCGAGGAAGGAGCUCAGAGCUUUGGAGGAAUAGAGGGAAAAGCCUGGAGAAGGAGGCGGGGGCCUGGCCACCUGGGAAGACAUUUGGGCUUUUCCCUAAGCAAGUGAGCAGACAGGGCAGCGCAAGCCGGCUGUGACAGUGGCCGUGGUCUGUGCCUGCCUUAGCCCUGUGAGCUUCCUGGCCCUGCCCCUGUUGAUCUAGCCACUCAGGGAAGAGCGGAGGAGAGUUGAGGGAAGAGACUGAUCUGAUUCGCCUUUGUUUCAUUAAUUUUUAUAUGAAGAAUUUUGAGUAUACAUUAAAAAGUAUAAGGAAGACUCAUAUAUCCCCCAUUCGCCCUGGCCAUCCACCCCAGCCUCACCAGCACCCCCUUCCCCUUCUUCUGUGUUAAUUUGAAUCAAAGCCCAGGCAUCCUCUUAUUCCAUCCAUAAAUAUUUCAGUAUGUAUCCCUGGCAGAUAAGGGCUUAAGAACGUAAAACCACCAUACAUUAUCACGUCUAAAAAAUAAUAAAAA